GACUGUGCCAGGGAGGGGACUGGGGAGAAGGGCAGAUCAUCCUGGGCCCCAGCGCCAGAAAUUGGAUUCUCUGCCUCAGGACAUCUUUCUACUCCUCUCACUCACAGGACCUCCGAGUAAGGAAUUAUGUAACCUGAUGUGGUAAAGGAGUGAUGGCUGCGUGGAAAGAGCAUCGUGGGAGCACAGACAGCGGAGUGACCAGCCUGGGGGUCAGGAGGCGUCCUGGAGGAGAUGACUCCUAAAUGGAUCUUGGAUGACAUGACCUCCGAAGCACAAUGCUGGGAAUGGAACUUAGCACUGAAUUAGAAGUCAGAAGACCUGAGUUCUCAUUUCUCCUCUGCCACUGAUGCAAAUGUGUGAUCUUGAACCAGACACUUCCCCUUUUGGAACCUCAAAUUCCUCAUUUGUAAAUGGAAAGAAUGGAAAAUAAAAAUCUAA
Equus quagga is the source of this 438-nucleotide long non-coding RNA. RefSeq lists it as uncharacterized. The transcript has 3 exons. The record is from RefSeq and is a predicted model, not a curated record. NCBI's taxonomy places the organism in Eukaryota, Metazoa, Chordata, Mammalia, Perissodactyla, Equidae.